GGGGGAUAUUGCGCAAUGGGGGAAACCCUGACGCAGCAACGCCGCGUGAAGGAUGAAGGUCUUCGGAUUGUAAACUUCUUUUAUUAAGGACGAAUAAAGUGACGGUACUUAAUGAAUAAGCUCCGGCUAACUACGUGCCAGCAGCCGCGGUAAUACGUAGGGAGCAAGCGUUGUCCGGAUUUACUGGGUGUAAAGGGUGCGUAGGCGGCUUUGCAAGUCAGAUGUGAAAUCUAUGGGCUCAACCCAUAGCCUGCAUUUGAAACUGCAGAGCUUGAGUGAAGUAGAGGCAGGCGGAAUUCCCCGUGUAGCGGUGAAAUGCGUAGAGAUGGGGAGGAACACCAGUGGCGAAGGCGGCCUGCUGGGCUUUAACUGACGCUGAGGCACGAAAGCGUGGGUAGCGAAC
Molecule: ribosomal RNA, 403 nt
Filed under: uncultured bacterium
Lineage: Bacteria
Description: bacterial SSU rRNA
Rfam family: Bacterial small subunit ribosomal RNA
Source: RNAcentral